AACCAGCACCUCAAGUGGUCAGGAUGAUUAUUGGGCCUAAAGCAUCCGUAGCCGGCUUUGUAAGUUUUCGGUUAAAUCCAUGCGCUCAACGUAUGGGCUGCCGGGAAUACUGCAAAGCUAGGGAGUGGGAGAGGUAGACGGUACUCGGUAGGAAGGGGUAAAAUCCUUUGAUCUAUUGAUGACCACCUGUGGCGAAGGCGGUCUACCAGAACACGUCCGACGGUGAGGGAUGAAAGCUGGGGGAGCAAACCGGAUUAGAUACCCGGGUAGUCCCAGCUGUAAACUAUGCAAACUCAGUGAUGCAUUGGCUUGAUGCCAAUGCAGUGCUGCAGGGAAGCCGUUAAGUUUGCCGCCUGGGAAGUACGUACGCAAGUAUGAAACUUAAAGGAAUUGGCGGGGGAGCACCACAAGGGGUGAAGCCUGCGGUUCAAUUGGAGUCAACGCCAGAAAUCUUACCCGGAGAGACAGCAGAAUGAAGGUCAAGCUGAAGACUUUACCAGACAAGCUGAGAGGUGGUGCAUGGCCGUCGCCAGCUCGUGCCGUGAGAUGUCCUGUUAAGUCAGGUAACGAGCGAGAUCCCUGCCUCUAGUUGCCACCACUACUCUCAGGAGUAGUGGGGCGAAUUAGCGGGACCGCCGUAGUUAAUACGGAGGAAGGAAGGGGCCACGGCAGGUCAGUAUGCCCCGAAACUCUGGGGCCACACGCGGGCUGCAAUGGUAACGACAAUGCGUUCCGAAUCCGAAAGGAGGAGGUAAUCCCCAAACGUUACCACAGUUAUGACUGAGGGCUGCAACUCGCCCUCACGAAUAUGGAAUCCCUAGUAACUGCGUGUCACUAUCGCGCGGUGAAUACGUCCCUGCUCCU
This 864-nucleotide ribosomal RNA is filed under the name uncultured archaeon. RNAcentral's name for it is "SSU rRNA". It matches the Rfam family "Archaeal small subunit ribosomal RNA", at positions 474 to 1337 of the family's 1478-position model. The record is from RNAcentral.